This 248-nucleotide ribosomal RNA is filed under the name uncultured bacterium. RNAcentral describes it as "partial 16S ribosomal RNA". It matches the Rfam family "Bacterial small subunit ribosomal RNA", at positions 523 to 769 of the family's 1533-position model. The record is from RNAcentral.
AUACGUAGGUGGCAAGCGUUGUCCGGAAGUUACUGGGCGUAAAGGAUGCGUAGGCGGAUAUGUAAGUCAGAUGUGAAAUACCCGGGCUCAACUUGGGUGCCGCAUUUGAAACUGCAUGUCUAGAGUGCGGGAGAGGAAAGUGGAAUUCCUAGUGUAGCGGUGAAAUGCGUAGAGAUUAGGAAGAACACCAGUGGCGAAGGCGACUUUCUGGACCGUAACUGACGCUGAGGCAUGAAAGCGUGGGUAGC